Molecule: ribosomal RNA, 297 nt
Filed under: Achromobacter sp. BH8
Lineage: Bacteria; Pseudomonadati; Pseudomonadota; Betaproteobacteria; Burkholderiales; Alcaligenaceae
Description: partial 16S ribosomal RNA
Rfam family: Bacterial small subunit ribosomal RNA
Source: RNAcentral
AACGGCAGCACGGNNNUCNGNNNGGUGGCGAGUGGCGAACGGGUGAGUAAUGUAUCGGAACGUGCCCAGUAGCGGGGGAUAACUACGCGAAAGCGUAGCUAAUACCGCAUACGCCCUACGGGGGAAAGCAGGGGAUCGCAAGACCUUGCACUAUUGGAGCGGCCGAUANCGGAUUAGCUAGUUGGUGGGGUAACGGCUCACCAAGGCGACGAUCCGUAGCUGGUUUGAGAGGACGACCAGCCACACUGGGANNGAGACACGGCCCAGACUCCUACGGGAGGCAGNAGCUGGGGAAUU